GACGAACGCUGGCGGCGUGCUUAACACAUGCAAGUCGAGCGGUAAGGCCCUUCGGGGUACACGAGCGGCGAACGGGUGAGUAACACGUGAGUAAUCUGCCCAUCACUUCGGGAUAACUCCGGGAAACCGGUGCUAAUACCGAAUAUGACCACUUCAGGCAUCUGAUGGUGGUGGAAAGUUCCGGCGGUGAUGGAUGAGCUCGCGGCCUAUCAGCUUGUUGGUGGGGUAGUGGCCUACCAAGGCUUCGACGGGUAGCCGGCCUGAGAGGGUGACCGGCCACACUGGGACUGAGACACGGCCCAGACUCCUACGGGAGGCAGCAGUGGGGAAUAUUGGACAAUGGACGAAAGCCUGAUCCAGCAACGCCGCGUGAGGGAUGACGGCCUUCGGGUUGUAAACCUCUUUCAGCAGGGACGAAGCGCAAGUGACGGUACCUGCAGAAGAAGCACCGGCCAACUACGUG
RNAcentral lists this ribosomal RNA (463 nucleotides) under uncultured bacterium. Its description in RNAcentral is "partial 16S ribosomal RNA". It matches the Rfam family "Bacterial small subunit ribosomal RNA", at positions 28 to 507 of the family's 1533-position model. The record is from RNAcentral.